UAGAAUGAAGCUCGCUGGGUUGAGCGUUUAGCUGUUAACUAAAAUUUUGCGGGAUCGAGGCCCGCCUUUCUAG
Molecule: transfer RNA, 73 nt
Filed under: Bufotes pewzowi
Lineage: Eukaryota; Metazoa; Chordata; Amphibia; Anura; Bufonidae
Description: tRNA-Asn
Rfam family: tRNA
About the family: Transfer RNA (tRNA) molecules are approximately 80 nucleotides in length. Their secondary structure includes four short double-helical elements and three loops (D, anti-codon, and T loops).
Source: RNAcentral